RNA transcript from Ricinus communis (castor bean), 1979 nucleotides. It is a transcript of the gene named zinc-finger homeodomain protein 6, with no coding region annotated. Lineage: Eukaryota; Viridiplantae; Streptophyta; Magnoliopsida; Malpighiales; Euphorbiaceae. The record is from RefSeq and is a predicted model, not a curated record. The transcript has 3 exons.
AUGGAAGUAAGAAGCCAAGAUAAAGAAAUAGGGAUGCCAAGUUCUCUGGACUGCAAUCCACCUAAAAGAGAUUCCUCCUCUAAAUUCCCUCCUAUGAUUUCAGCUCUUGGAGAAAGAACAACGGAUCAUCAACCUGCUAUUUCUCAGACCCAUGAACAGCAUCAUCCACUUUACGAUCAGCCCAAAAUGAAUCUACACCAGCAAUCCCUCAAACCCAUAAGAGAUCUCGAUCUAAUCCCAGAUCCAGCUCCAGCUCCUGCUCCUGCCACAGGUGCAACUAACAGACCACCUGUUCCCAGUUCUAGAUCCAUGUCAAGAUCACCUCCCCCAGCGUCAGCAAUUACCACAACUGCAUCAGCACCAUCAGUUAGAUAUCGAGAGUGUUUGAAGAACCAUGCAGCCAGCACGGGAGGACUGAUUGUCGACGGAUGUGGUGAAUUUAUGCCCAGUGGGCAGGAGGGCACACUAGAAGCCAUGAAAUGCGCAGCUUGUGAAUGCCACCGGAACUUCCAUAGGAAAGAGAUUCAUGGAGAAUCACAAUGUGCAGCCAAUUGUUAUUGCAAAAACAAUAGCCAAAGAAACAAUACAGUACCUCCUCCUUAUCACCAUCUUUCUCAUUCACUUGCUUCAGCCCAGCCUCCUAUACAUCAACGUCGUACAUUCCCUCAUGGAUUUUCAUCCGCGGUUCUAACUGCUCCAGUUCUGAUGACCUUUGGUAGCGGUGGAGCUGCGGCGGAGUCAUCCAGCGAAGAUCUCGAUAUGUUCCAGCCGAAUUCGCAAGGGCAUGGCUGUAUGCAGCAACUAAAGAAGAGGUAUAGAACAAAGUUUAGCCAGGAACAGAAGGACAAGAUGAUGGAAUUUGCAGAGAGAUUGGAAUGGAAAAUCCAAAAGCAAGACGACCAAGAAGUGCAGCAAUUUUGCACUCGAGUGGGCGUGAAGAGAAGGGUUUUCAUGGUCUGGAUGCACAACAACAAACAAGCCAUGAAAAAGAAGCAAAUGUAAGAUAAAUUCAGACCCUUGAAGACACAUACUGGUUAUAUGAAUCAAAGAUUGAUAGAUCUUAAUUACUAGCUAAGAUCAGAUGUUCCUAACUUAAUAGAGUGGAUCAUAACAAAACACAAACACUGGGAUUUUCUCAACUCAAUCGAAAAAAUAUAGAGAAAGAAAGGCGAAAGAUGAAACUGCUGUUGAUCAUGAACAUAGAAGAGAUUUUCAUAAUCAUCCAAGAUGGCCCCCCUCUCUAGUGUACUAGAAAUUUUGAUUCAUUGAACCUUGCCUCAAAAUCUAUGGUCCUCACCACGAUUUAAAGCCGGAUCAAACGGGAUAACUUUAGGACACGAGUGUUUCAAGAGGCCUUUAUGCACCAGAAGGACAUUCAAAUUAUCUUCCAGUGGGUCACACGUCUUCACUGUUCUGAAAGUAAUACUUGCUGCUAGCUUAACUUAUGAUCCUCGAAGUUAUGGCAGAUGGUGACACAGAAGAGCAGAAAAUGGCUACUUCUGGAGGCUUGAUUUUCUUAACCAGGUACGCAUGGUUAUAUCAUAGUGCAAUCCAAUUAUUGAAAGACAUCCAUCCUAGUGGGAAGACAUGCACAGUUAAAAGCAAUGAGCUUUAUCCACUCCUCAAUUUAAAACCUCAUUCGCAAGAGUUAGAAAGCUUAUGUCAAAACAAACUUGGCUAUUAGAAAAAGGAAAAAGUUAAAAAAGUUUUAAGAUUUUCCAGCGAAUUAACAUCUAAUCCCAUUCACGGAUGUGAUAGAUACUCUCCACAUUGUUCGUAAACAUAAUUAUAUAAAAUGACAUAAUUACAUUGGCUUAAUUUUUAAUGAUGACUUAAUAAUAGUUAUGCAUUAACCAACAUAACUAUGCAAGUUAACAAAAAUUGACACAUAUCAUGUAAUUGGUUGUGUAAAAUGCACAACAUUUAUGUAUCUGUAACUCAUAAAUUAAAAUUAAAAUUAAUUGUACCGUUUCCUUCUA